Non-coding RNA from Pedobacter glucosidilyticus, 74 nucleotides. Lineage: Bacteria; Pseudomonadati; Bacteroidota; Sphingobacteriia; Sphingobacteriales; Sphingobacteriaceae. The record is from Rfam.
CUUCAAGUGGAAUGAUUUGAGACGCUUAUAAAGCCAGGAUUGCAACCACAUUAAAAAGUGCUAAAGCCAAAAUU